GUGGCGGACGGGUGAGUAACGCGUGGGUAACCUGCCUUAUACUGGGGGAUAACAGCCAGAAAUGGCUGCUAAUACCGCAUAAGCGCACAGAACCGCAUGGUUCGGUGUGAAAAACUCCGGUGGUAUAAGAUGGACCCGCGUUGGAUUAGCUAGUUGGCAGGGCAGCGGCCUACCAAGGCGACGAUCCAUAGCCGGCCUGAGAGGGUGAACGGCCACAUUGGGACUGAGACACGGCCCAGACUCCUACGGGAGGCAGCAGUGGGGAAUAUUGCACAAUGGGGGAAACCCUGAUGCAGCGACGCCGCGUGAAGGAAGAAGUAUCUCGGUAUGUAAACUUCUAUCAGCAGGGAAGAUAAUGACGGUACCUGACUAAGAAGCCCCGGCUAACUACGUGCCAGCAGCCGCGGUAAUACGUAGGGGGCAAGCGUUAUCCGGAUUUACUGGGUGUAAAGGGAGCGUAGACGGCGCAGCAAGUCUGAUGUGAAAGGCAGGGGCUUAACCCCUGGACUGCAUUGGAAACUGCUGUGCUUGAGUGCCGGAGGGGUAAGCGGAAUUCCUAGUGUAGCGGUGAAAUGCGUAGAUAUUAGGAGGAACACCAGUGGCGAAGGCGGCUUACUG
RNAcentral lists this ribosomal RNA (618 nucleotides) under uncultured bacterium. RNAcentral's name for it is "bacterial SSU rRNA". It matches the Rfam family "Bacterial small subunit ribosomal RNA", at positions 95 to 731 of the family's 1533-position model. The record is from RNAcentral.